UUUCUCCUCAUUUUUUUUUUAAAGUUGACUCAAAAUUUAACACUCGCGUAGUACACACUAUAAAAUAUAAAGGGAUCAUACUAAUACUUACAAAGGAUUCUGGGCUAUAAUAGAAUGCAAUUUUCGUAGAAGAAAGCAACCGUAUCUUUCAAAGACGAAUGAAGUUACGUAGGAAGUCUGUGGUAGUUUAAUAGAACUUUGGAUCAGUCAAUCAUUGCUUCCGUUUAAGGGAUCAUUCUAAUACUUACAAAGGAUUCUGGGCUAUAAUAGAAUUCAAUUUUCUUGGAAGAAAGCAACCGUAUAUUUCAAAGACGAAUGAAGUUACGUAGGAAGUCUCUGGUUGUUUAAUAGAACUUGGGAUCAGUCAAUCAUUGCUUCCGUUUAAGGAUAGGUAUAAAAUUGGAGUAAUUUUCUAUGGAUACAAGGAAGAAGGCAAAAUGCUACAUAAUAUCUUCACAAAAUUCCAUGAGAUCCUCCUGGGGAAUUAUUUAUAUUUGCAAAUCAAAUGAUGGACCAUCAAACAGGAUAGAUAUAAAAUUUGAGUCAUUUUCUAUGGACACAAGGAAAAAGGCAAAAUGUUACAUAAUAUCUUCACAAAAUUAACUGAAAUCAUCCCGGAAUUAUUUGUAUUUGCAAAUCGAAUGAUGGACCAUCAAACAGGACUCCAUAAUUAUUGAGGGUUGUCUAAUGAAACGGUUAAUGGAAUAAGAAACAGUCAAAGGACAAUGAUUGGCUAAUUGUUUAUUGAAACAGCAGAAGAUAUAGUGCAAACAUUGUUGAACAAGUAAUUAAAGGCGCGUUAUAUUAAUACUACAACACCACACACUCCUUCCCCACUCACACGAGCAUUGCUAGCUCUCUGUGUUGGUUAAUAAAAUUUCCUAAUUCAACAUUAGUGAAUUUCAUUAGCUGAUGCGGUUGGUUAACAGUGUUUUUGUCGGUGUGGAUCCCCGGCUUAAGAUGACUCCAGAGCGCGGCGCGGCCUUCCCCAAGAGAGGAGACUUCUUGGGUCACCCCCUAACCCCGAUGUUCGGGCAUCGAUGACCUGUGUAGCAUGCAGAGGUACCCAAGGGAGUCACCACCCUCUGAUUUACGAGCUAGGUGUUCUAAUGCUAGAGGCUUCGGCCGGAUACAACCUGGCACCCAAGCUCCGAGAUUUCUUCGUGCACGUAUUCCGUGACCCUCGAAGAG
Long non-coding RNA from Sitophilus oryzae (rice weevil), 1191 nucleotides. RefSeq lists it as uncharacterized. The transcript is spliced from 7 exons. NCBI's taxonomy places the organism in Eukaryota, Metazoa, Arthropoda, Insecta, Coleoptera, Curculionidae. The record is from RefSeq and is a predicted model, not a curated record.